RNAcentral lists this ribosomal RNA (563 nucleotides) under Penicillium brevicompactum. RNAcentral describes it as "eukaryotic LSU rRNA". It matches the Rfam family "Eukaryotic large subunit ribosomal RNA", at positions 81 to 657 of the family's 3401-position model. Lineage: Eukaryota; Fungi; Ascomycota; Eurotiomycetes; Eurotiales; Aspergillaceae. The record is from RNAcentral.
CAGUAACGGCGAGUGAAGCGGCAAGAGCUCAAAUUUGAAAGCUGGCUCCUUCGGGGUCCGCAUUGUAAUUUGCAGAGGAUGCUUCGGGAGCGGUCCCCAUCUAAGUGCCCUGGAACGGGACGUCAUAGAGGGUGAGAAUCCCGUAUGGGAUGGGGUGUCCGCGCCCGUGUGAAGCUCCUUCGACGAGUCGAGUUGUUUGGGAAUGCAGCUCUAAAUGGGUGGUAAAUUUCAUCUAAAGCUAAAUAUUGGCCGGAGACCGAUAGCGCACAAGUAGAGUGAUCGAAAGAUGAAAAGCACUUUGAAAAGAGAGUUAAAAAGCACGUGAAAUUGUUGAAAGGGAAGCGCUUGCGACCAGACUCGCUCGCGGGGUUCAGCCGGCAUUCGUGCCGGUGUACUUCCCCGCGAGCGGGCCAGCGUCGGUUUGGGCGGUCGGUCAAAGGCCUCUGGAAGGUAACGCCCCCUCGGGGGCGUCUUAUAGCCAGGGGUGCAAUGCGGCCUGCCCGGACCGAGGAACGCGCUUCGGCUCGGACGCUGGCAUAAUGGUCGUAAGCGACCCGUCUUGA